GAUGAAGAACGCAGCGAAAUGCGAUAAGUAAUGUGAAUUGCAGAAUUCAGUGAAUCAUCGAAUCUUUGAACGCACAUUGCGCCCCUUGGUAUUCCGAGGGGCAUGCCUGUUCGAGCGUCAUUAUAACCCCUCAAGCUCAGCUUGGUGUUGGGGCCUGCUGCACUGGCAGCCCUUAAAAUCAGUGGCGGCGCCAUCUGGCUCUAAGCGUAGUAAUUCUUCUCGCUAUGGAGUCCUGGUGGAUGCUUGCCAUCAACCCCCAAUUUUUCUAUGGUUGACCUCGGAUCAGGUAGGGAUACCCGCUGAACUUAAGCAUAUCAAUAAGCGGAGA
This 328-nucleotide unclassified non-coding RNA is filed under the name soil metagenome. RNAcentral's name for it is "partial contains 5.8S ribosomal RNA, internal transcribed spacer 2, and large subunit ribosomal RNA". The stretch from base 1 to 120 matches the Rfam family "5.8S ribosomal RNA", at positions 35 to 154 of the family's 154-position model. The record is from RNAcentral.